Molecule: long non-coding RNA, 499 nt
Filed under: Arabidopsis lyrata
Lineage: Eukaryota; Viridiplantae; Streptophyta; Magnoliopsida; Brassicales; Brassicaceae
Description: long non-coding RNA (ALYR_LNC001175)
Source: RNAcentral
GAGGAGGAGGUGAAGUUUUACCAAAAGGAGGGGGUGGUGGAGGAGGAGGGGAACCAUGACCUGGUGGCGGAGGAGGAGGUGGAGGAAUUGAGCGUACAUGACUGAAAGGAGGAGGUGGAGGUGGUGGUGGGGAUCCAUAACUCAGUGGAGGAGGCGGCGGUGGGGGUGGAGAUCCAUAACUCGGUGGAGGAGGGGGAGGUGGGGGUGGAGAUCCAUAACUUGGUGGAGGAGGGGGAGGGGGAGGCACUGAAUAUGCAUUACUAAAAGGAGGAGGUGGAGGUGGUGGUGGAGCUGUUUUACUAGGUGGAAGAGGUGGAGAUCCAUAACUUGGUGGAGAAGGGGGAGGGGGAGGUACUGAAUAUGCAUUACUAAAAGGUGGAGGUGAUGGUGGAGCUGUUUUACUAGGUGGAAGAGGUGGAGAUGGAGAAGUGGAAAAACCAUUAAUAGGAAGGAUCUUGAGUGCUGGUGUAGGUGCAACACUCGUAUAAGGCAGAGGAGG